GAUGAAGAACGUAGCGAAAUGCGAUAAGUAAUGUGAAUUGCAGAAUUCAGUGAAUCAUCGAAUCUUUGAACGCACAUUGCGCCCGCUAGUAUUCUGGCGGGCAUGCCUGUCCGAGCGUCAUUUCAACCCUCAAGCCCCUCCGGGGGCCUGGCGUUGGGGAUCGGCCCCGCUCCGGCGGCCGGCCCCGAAAUGUAGUGGCGGUCUCGCCGCUGCCUCCUCUGCGUAGUAGAAACACCUCGCAUUGGGACGCGGCGGGCCCACGCCGUUAACCAGAUGAAUUUUUUCAAGGUUGACCUCGGAUCAGGUAGGAGUACCCGCUGAACUUAAGCAUAUCAAUAAGCGGAGGA
Molecule: unclassified non-coding RNA, 347 nt
Filed under: soil metagenome
Description: partial contains 5.8S ribosomal RNA, internal transcribed spacer 2, and large subunit ribosomal RNA
Rfam family: 5.8S ribosomal RNA (bases 1-120)
Source: RNAcentral